RNAcentral lists this long non-coding RNA (199 nucleotides) under Panax ginseng (ginseng). RNAcentral describes it as "long non-coding RNA (PGIN_LNC004768)". Lineage: Eukaryota; Viridiplantae; Streptophyta; Magnoliopsida; Apiales; Araliaceae. The record is from RNAcentral.
UUUAUGUGGGAAAUUGUUUGUUCACUCUUGCAUAUAACAUUGCAGCUAAAGUUGAGAAAGUUGACGAGUCGUCUACGAGUAAGGAAAAAGGCAAGAUGAACAAGUGAUAAAGACUUGUUUGAUUUUAUUUGACAGAAUUUAUGUUAUGAGACUUAUUUGUUUAUAUGAAGUAUUCCGCAAACUUAUGUAACAAUUUAAG